This is an RNA transcript of Photinus pyralis (common eastern firefly), 1921 nucleotides long. It is a transcript of the gene named enoyl-CoA delta isomerase 1, mitochondrial-like, with no coding region annotated. Lineage: Eukaryota; Metazoa; Arthropoda; Insecta; Coleoptera; Lampyridae. The record is from RefSeq and is a predicted model, not a curated record. The transcript has 5 exons.
AUUGCACGUUAGUUUCGACCGUAAUGUAUAGGUAUGUGUGCAAAACCAUGUUACGACGAUUGUUCCUCUCAAAAAAGGUAUCCUAUCAAGCUCGUUUGUUUAGUGGUAACUUUAGGUACUUAGAAGUGCUCAACAACGAAAAUAACGUCGCUAUCGUUACAAUGAAACGCGCACCAGUAAAUACCCUAAACUCUGAACUUCUGUCUGAGAUUUCAAGCGUUUUGACCAAUUUAGACGAAACCAAGUGUUCAGGAAUGGUUUUAACAUCGUUUUCCGAUAAAGUGUUUUCUAGCGGACUGGAUUUUAACGAAAUGUAUGAGUCGAGACCAGCGACGAUACGGACGUUAGUUUCUACAAUUUUGGAGGUCAUCAUAAAACUGUACGGUAGUCCGUUUCCAACGGUGGCUGUAAUUACUGGUCACGCGCCAUCAGGCGGUUGUGUGCUGAGUUUGUGCUGUGAAUAUCGCAUAAUGGUUCAAAAUUUUCAAAUUGGAUUGAACGUUGUUAAGUUGGGAUAUAGUACCCCUUUAUCAAUUGUACAGUUGAUGGUAAACACAAUCGGUCAUAGAAACGCGGAACUGGCAUUAACAUCAGGUAGACUUUUUACCACAAAUGAAGCAUUGCGAGUGGGAUUGAUUGAUGAAAUUGCAAAGGAUAGAGCUAGCGCAUUUGAUAAAGCAAAUGAUUUUCUGAAUCAGUUCAAAGUGAUACCUCCAAUAGCCAGGCAUUUUACGAAACAGAGUAUGAGGAGAGCACUUCUACAGCAUGGCCACCUCGCUGACAGCUGCUCCUUGUCGAUCACGGACCAAUCCAAGGGUUAGUACGUACUCAUAUUACAACCAAAUCAAUCAGCUCAAUGAUCAACUUGGUAAAAACAUGGCGGACAUGGAGCAUUAUGUCCUGACUGUCCUUUAACAGUCACUAUAGUGGCACAGAUAAAACACUCAAUCUGUGGUAAUGGUAAUUAGCCAAACUGUCAUCUAGCGGCAACGAAUGUCGAAUAGUAACUAUACAAUGCACUUGUUCCUCCGAUAACCGCACCGCACACCGCAGCUAUCGAUAUUUAAGAUAAUAUACUACUCUGUGGACGUUUCAAUUAACGGAAAAAUAUACGUUGAGGAUUUCGUCUCGUUAAUCUCGCGACCUAAAGUACAAGAAUUAAUCGCUGCCUAUAUGGCAAAUAUGAAAAAUAAAAAGAAGAAUUCCAAUUAAUGUUGACAAUUUUUAAAAAUCGACCAGGGGUACUUUUACAUAGGAUUAUAACAUAACUAAAAAUUGUCGACCCAUUUUGGUAACUGAGCAGGAUUGUAGAAGAUGAGCAGGCGGAGAAAAAAACUGCAACAUAGUUUUUGACUUCCGGUUUCGUUAGAAGGAGGGGGGGGGGGUUUCUAUAAAUAAUUGUCCAAUUUCCAAGGUUUUCAAGAUAUACGAUAUUGAAGAUCAAUCUACUUUUUGUCAAAACAUUUGCUUCCAGUCUUGAUUAAACCUGGAAGUUUCGUUGAGUCACCGCAUUGAAACAAAAGUUUCCACUACAGUUUUCAUAGAACUUUUGCUAAUCACCUAAAUCAAUUAACUAAACUUGAUCUGCUAAGGUAAGUGGUUCCAGAAAUCGGUUUCUGGUUUCCUCCAAGGGGCGUGGAGAAAAAUGAAGUAGGUGGUAUGAAUCCACUGCUUCGGGGAUGUACCUAAUCAAAAAUCUCAAACAUGGGAUCUUCUCCCCCUCCCCCUUCUCUCGUUAUGGUCACAUCUCGGGGGCGAGUUUACCUGCUAACUAGUAACUGUUCCUAACCCAGUCUUGAAGUCAUAUCUAUAUUUUGUAACGUAUCCAAAUAAGUAUCUGAAAUAAUUGUAGGUAGAAGGAUUUUCACUGUUUGUAAACUUCUUUGUCUAAAAAGUAUUAAAUAAACACAAUUGAAAUUUA